Molecule: ribosomal RNA, 326 nt
Filed under: uncultured bacterium
Lineage: Bacteria
Description: bacterial SSU rRNA
Rfam family: Bacterial small subunit ribosomal RNA
Source: RNAcentral
GGGCGCAWKYCUGAUGCAGCANACGCCGCGUGAGGGAUGGAGGCCUUCGGGUUGUAAACCUCUUUUAUCGGGGAGCAAGCGUGAGUGAGUUUACCCGUUGAAUAAGCACCGGCUAACUACGUGCCAGCAGCCGCGGUAAUACGUAGGGUGCAAGCGUUAUCCGGAAUUAUUGGGCGUAAAGGGCUCGUAGGCGGUUCGUCGCGUCCGGUGUGAAAKUYCAUCGCUUAACGGUGGAUCCGCGCCGGGUACGGGCGGGCUUGAGUGCGGUAGGGGAGACUGGAAUUCCCGGUGUAACGGUGGAAUGUGUAGAUAUCGGGAAGAACACC